UUCAAGCUCGUGUGAUUUGCAGGUUAUUAUGCGUAUUCAGAGUUUGAGUUUAUUCACGAGGCUUUGUACCCGCUAGACACUCGCCCCACUCUGCAUUUCCUUAGCUGCAAGAGUGGGAAAAGAAUUAUAGCUUGCGUACACCAUGGCCGUGACUGAGCAGUGGGAUGUUUAUAGCUUUGGGGUGGUGGUUCUAGAAACAAUAAUGGGAAGGUAUCCAAGCGAACUACUCUGUUUAGUGUCAUCAUCAUCUGCUCAAAAUAGUCUACUGAAGGACCUAUUAGAUCCCUGCCUGUUGUCUGUUGUCAAUCAACUGAUUGCUCAAAAUUUGGUUCUCUUAGCAACAAUGGCAAUGGCAUGCUUAAGUCCCAAUCCGAGAUCUCAACCUACAAUGCUGCAGGUGUCUUGAGUGUUUCUUGUUCACAGACCACUGUUACCAAAGCCUCUGCAGGCAUUACAAUGUGGGAGCUGAUGAAUCAGGAGAUAUAUAAUUCCAUGGACGAAAAUUAGAACUAGCCUACACAAUGGUUGCAACUGAGAAGUGUGAUGUUUGUA
This is a long non-coding RNA of Camellia sinensis, 552 nucleotides long. RefSeq lists it as uncharacterized. The record is from RefSeq and is a predicted model, not a curated record. Lineage: Eukaryota; Viridiplantae; Streptophyta; Magnoliopsida; Ericales; Theaceae.